AACGAACGCUGGCGGCGCGCUUAACACAUGCAAGUCGAACGAGAAGGCGUAGCAAUACGCUUGUACAGUGGCGAACGGGUGAGUAAUACGUGGGCGACCUACCCUCGAGUGGGGAAUAACCCGCCGAAAGGCGGGCUAAUGCCGCGUACGCUUCCAUCUUUAUGGAGGUGGAAGGAAAGCCGUGCUGUGGGCACGGCGCUCAAGGAUGGGCUCACGUCCUAUCAGCUUGUUGGAGGGUAACGGCCUACCAAGGCUCCGACGGGUAGCUGGUCUGAGAGGACGAUCAGCCACACUGGCACUGCGACACGGGCCAGACUCCUACGGGAGCAGCAGUGAGGAAUAUUGCGCAAUGGGCGAAAGCCUGACGCAGC
Molecule: ribosomal RNA, 371 nt
Filed under: uncultured bacterium
Lineage: Bacteria
Description: bacterial SSU rRNA
Rfam family: Bacterial small subunit ribosomal RNA
Source: RNAcentral